UCGCAGGGGCGCUCUGUCGCCGGCGUCCCAAAACGCCGGAGGAAAGUCCGGGCAACACAGAGUACCGUCCUUCCUAACGGGAAGAGGUUCGCAAGGGCCUGCAAAGCGUAACAGAGAACAGACCGCCUCGCCGAAAGGCGCGGUAAGGGUGAAACGGCGGGGUAAGAGCCCACCGCGCGGGUGGCGACACACCGCGGCACGACGCACGACGGGUUGCAAGAUCAUGUAUAUCGGCGCCACGAGGGCUGCUCGCCCCAUGCCGAAGGGUAGAUCGCACAGAGGCUGCCGGUGACGGCCGUCCCAGAUAAAUGACAGAGACCCGCCGAUCAAUCUCAUCCAUCGCGUUGAGAUUUUUCGAGGGCACAGAACCCGGCUUAUAGCCCCUACGAUGCU
This 393-nucleotide RNase P RNA is filed under the name Alistipes sp. RNAcentral's name for it is "RNase P RNA component class A". It matches the Rfam family "Bacterial RNase P class A". Rfam says of the family: Ribonuclease P (RNase P) is a ubiquitous endoribonuclease, found in archaea, bacteria and eukarya as well as chloroplasts and mitochondria. The record is from RNAcentral. Lineage: Bacteria; Pseudomonadati; Bacteroidota; Bacteroidia; Bacteroidales; Rikenellaceae.